RNAcentral lists this ribosomal RNA (369 nucleotides) under Triticum aestivum (bread wheat). Its description in RNAcentral is "partial small subunit ribosomal RNA". Lineage: Eukaryota; Viridiplantae; Streptophyta; Magnoliopsida; Poales; Poaceae. The record is from RNAcentral.
AUGAAAGAAGUGGUAAGAACGAAAAUAUUAAAACUUCUAGAAGUAGGUAUAAUCUAUCCUAUAGCUGAUAGUAGAUGGGUAAGUCAUGUUCAUUGUGUCCCUAAAAAGGGAGGUAUUAUUGUUGUUCCUAAUGAUAAGAAUGAACUUAUUCCACAAAGAAUUGUUACAGGUUAUAGAAUGGUAAUUGAUUUUAGAAAAUUAAACAAAGCAACUAGAAGAGAUCAUUACCCUCUGCCUUUUAUUGAACAAAUGCUAGAAAGAUUAUCUAAGCACAAACAUUUUUGCUUCCUUGAUGGAUAUUCUGGUUUUUCACAAAUACCUAUUUCUCAACCUAAUCAAGAAAAUACCACUUUUACCUGGCCCUUUUGA